Molecule: long non-coding RNA, 90 nt
Organism: Sinocyclocheilus anshuiensis
Lineage: Eukaryota; Metazoa; Chordata; Actinopteri; Cypriniformes; Cyprinidae
Exons: 3
Source: RefSeq, a predicted model, not a curated record
CCUUAGAAUCAAUUUAUUCAACUCACUCAUUUAGACAGUUAUUUGCUGCCACCUAUUGGCGGUUGUAGUUUCAUAUUUUAAAAAGUAACG